UACGUAGGGGGCUAGCGUUGUCCGGAAUCAUUGGGCGUAAAGCGCGUGUAGGCGGUCCGGUAAGUCCGCUGUGGAAGUCGGGGGCUCAACCCUCGGAUGCCGGUGGAUACUGUCGGGCUUGAGUACGGAAGAGGCGAGUGGAAUUCCUGGUGUAGCGGUGAAAUGCGCAGAUAUCAGGAGGAACACCAAUUGCGAAGGCAGCUCGCUGGGACGUUACUGACGCUGAGACGCGAAAGCGUGGGGAGCAAACAGG
This 253-nucleotide ribosomal RNA is filed under the name uncultured bacterium. Its description in RNAcentral is "partial 16S ribosomal RNA". It matches the Rfam family "Bacterial small subunit ribosomal RNA", at positions 524 to 776 of the family's 1533-position model. The record is from RNAcentral.